CGUCGGCGUAGAGCAGCUCAGUAGCGCACCAGCCUCAUAGCUGGAGGUCGCACGUUCGAGUGUUGUGGUCGCGA
Molecule: transfer RNA, 74 nt
Filed under: Sinorhizobium medicae
Lineage: Bacteria; Pseudomonadati; Pseudomonadota; Alphaproteobacteria; Hyphomicrobiales; Rhizobiaceae
Description: tRNA-OTHER
Source: RNAcentral